UGUAUUUUUAGUAGAGACGGGGUUUCACCGUGUUAGCCAGGAUGGUCUCGAUCUCCUGACCUCCUGAUCCUCCCGUCUCGGACAUGUUACUUUUAUGGGCAGUAAACAGCACUACAAAGUUGUUUCAGGAAAGUCUGGCUGUGAAACUGGCAGGAAAGGAGAGACUGGCUGGGUGAAGAAACCGGGUUGAACAAUGUUUUGUUUUUUUCGGAUGGGAGGUAUCUGAACAUGACUAAAUCCGGAUGGACAGAGUUGAUAGAGAGGAAGAAUUGGAAAAAGAGCAGAGGGCAUCUGGAGAAAGAAGAAGAGGACACAGUGUCCUGAGGGGGAGGUGAGACAGGAGGACACAGUGUCCAGAGUGGGAGGUGAGAGACACAGUGUCCUGAGGGGGAGGGAGAGAGGAAGACACAGUGUCCUGAGGGGGAGAUGAGAGAGAGAGGAAGACACAGUGUCCUGAGGGGGAGGUGAGAGAGGAAGACACAGUAUACUGAGGGGGAAGGUGACAGAGGAGGACACAGUGUCCAGAGUGGGGAGAUGACAGAGGGGGACACAGUGUCCGGAGGGGGGAGAUUAGACUCAGGAAGGGACAGACAAGCUUGUAGGUGUGAUGAGAAAUCAAUUGAGGGAAUUCUCAUCAGUGGGCUCCCUUUUCCUGGAAAGAGGAAGUUAAAUCAUCUGCUGAGAGGAAGGAAGGAAUGAUGAGAGACUGACAAGCAUCAAGGCGUGAACCAGUCACCGUGGAAAUGGAGGAGAAAGCUGACAGGAAUCUGCUGGUCUGCACGUGUGUAACUUCUCCAUCAGCCUCAGCAGCUGGGGCUGGGGUCAGAAGCAACAGAUGCAUGAGCUGAUCUGGGACCAAGAUUCCUCCAGGUGGGUGUGACAGAAGAAGCUCAGAAAAAGAACUAAAAAAACUGAUCAGAUGAUCCUCACUUCUGUAUAUAAAGUUAAGUCUUCUCUGAUCACCACCACGAGCAAGUCAGCUAUUAGUAAAGCUGUGUUACACUCCGCGCUUCCCAAGGGUCCUGGCCAUGCCGCCUACCUAUGUGUCUGAGGAACAAGCAGUCAGUCAGUAGACUGGAAAGGUUUACGUUGUAUCUGUCUUAAAAAUGUCGUACCUGCUCUUGAGCGUCUACUUCACUAAAAUCGCCGUUUAAGUUGUUCUCAGAUAUCAGUUCUUCCCAGGUGAACAGCAGUGAAUCUGUGACUUCGCCAAAUGGAUUAAAAUCAAUGAGCCACACCUUCCCCUGUAGCACAGAGAGAGAAAAAACAAAAACACAGUCUGUACUCUGUCUCCUGAGAAAGAAAUGCUUUUUUAUUCUGAGACAGGGUCUCAUGCUGUUGCCCAGGCUGCAGCGCACUGGUGUGAUCACGGCUCACUGCAGCCUCGACCUCCUGGGCUCAGAGGAUCCUCCUGCCUCAGCCGCCGGAGUACCUGGGACUACAGGCAUGCGCCACCACAUGCAGCUAAUUUUUGUAUUUUCUUCGAGACAGGGUCUCGCCAUGUUGCCCAAGCUGGUCUUGAACUCUUGGGUUCAAGCAAUCCCCUCACCUCAGCCUCCCAAAGUGCUGGGAUUACAGACAUGAGCCACAUUGCCCAGCCAGAAAGAUAUUCUUCAUAUUAUUCUAAUCUUAAAAAUCUUCUCACUUAUUUCAAAAGAUCAUCUGUCUAUAUCCCAUCUGAGAAAGGGCUGCCUGUCUGAAUAGAGUAGACAGAGAUCUAAAGGGAGGGCCCCCUGUGAAUGUAGAGAGAAGGGACCCAGAAAAGC
Molecule: non-coding RNA, 1766 nt
Filed under: Pongo abelii (Sumatran orangutan)
Lineage: Eukaryota; Metazoa; Chordata; Mammalia; Primates; Hominidae
Source: RNAcentral